AUGCUCACCUCCCUCUCCUGGAUCUGCUGGGUCUUCCCCCACUCCGUGCUUGCACAUCAGCUCGGCUCAGGCCUCCACGGGCUCGGCAUUGGCGCGAUCGGCCUCGACUGGGCGUCCAUCUCCUCCUACCUUGGGAGCCCUCUCGUCAGCCCCUGGUUCGCUACCGUGAAUGUCGCCGCAGGCUUCUUCAUCAUCAUGUACGUAAUCACCCCUAUCGGGUACUGGUUUAACUUCUACAAGGCACGGACCUUCUCUAUCUUCUCUGCCGAUCUCUUCACCUCGACCGGGCAGAAGUACAACAUCUCAGCCAUCGUGGACGACCAUUUCCAUUUCGACACGGAGGCCUACGAGAGAAAUGGGCCACUAUAUCUCAGCACUCUAUUGGCAAUCACAUACGGUGUCAGCUUCGCAUCGCUUACUGCGACGAUCGUUCAUGUUCUCUUGUUCCACGGAAGGUAA
RNAcentral lists this ribosomal RNA (459 nucleotides) under Triticum aestivum (bread wheat). RNAcentral's name for it is "partial small subunit ribosomal RNA". Lineage: Eukaryota; Viridiplantae; Streptophyta; Magnoliopsida; Poales; Poaceae. The record is from RNAcentral.